RNAcentral lists this long non-coding RNA (261 nucleotides) under Lathyrus oleraceus (garden pea). RNAcentral describes it as "Pisum sativum (pea) long non-coding RNA (PSAT_LNC006202)". The record is from RNAcentral. Lineage: Eukaryota; Viridiplantae; Streptophyta; Magnoliopsida; Fabales; Fabaceae.
UUUAAGCAGGAUCAACCUCGAUUCUUCUCUUACAAUGAACCCCAACAUCUUACCGGACCGCACUCUGAUAGUGCAUUUAUCUGAAUUCAACCUCAGUUUGAAUUGUCUCAACCAGUUGACCAACUUGGCCAGAUCUACCAGAUGCCCCUCUUCUGUUUGGUACUUUGCUAUCAUGUUGUCAACAUAGCAUUCAAUUUCAUGAUGAAUCAUAUCAUGAAACAAAGUCACCAGGACUCUUUGAUUAGUAGCACCGGUGUUCUG